Molecule: transfer RNA, 70 nt
Filed under: Xenolepidichthys dalgleishi
Lineage: Eukaryota; Metazoa; Chordata; Actinopteri; Zeiformes; Grammicolepididae
Description: tRNA-Ile
Rfam family: tRNA
About the family: Transfer RNA (tRNA) molecules are approximately 80 nucleotides in length. Their secondary structure includes four short double-helical elements and three loops (D, anti-codon, and T loops).
Source: RNAcentral
GGAGCUGUGCCUGAAUAAUAGGAUCACUUUGAUAGAGUGAAACAUGGGGGAUAAAAUCCCUCCAGCCCCU